RNAcentral lists this long non-coding RNA (229 nucleotides) under Elaeis guineensis (African oil palm). Its description in RNAcentral is "long non-coding RNA (EGUI_LNC006416)". Lineage: Eukaryota; Viridiplantae; Streptophyta; Magnoliopsida; Arecales; Arecaceae. The record is from RNAcentral.
GAGGCACGUAAAAGGAGGACACGCUGGAGGAAAGAGAAGGGACAGAUCAAAUCUAUUCAGGAGUAGAGACCAAUUAGAGAGACGGAUGGAGUCCAAUUCUUUUGGUGUUUUAUGAAAGAUGUUAGAUUCGAUUGGAAAAGGAUAAAGACAGAAUAUCUUUUAGUUAACAUAUGCAAGAAAAUUGGUGGAAUGAUUGUCGUAUUUUUUGAAGAUAAAUAAGAGGGAUAAU